UUCGGUCCCAUUGCUGGCUCAAACCCGCGUUCGGUCCCGGGGCUGGCCCAAACCCGCGUUCGGUCCCAUUGCUGGCCCAAACCCGCGUUCGGUCCCAUUGCUGGCCCAAACCCGCGUUCGGUCCCAUUGCUGGCCCAAGCCCGCGUUCGGUCCCAUUGCUGGCCCAAACCCGCGUUCGGUCCCGGAGCUGGCCCAAACCAGCGUUCGGUCCCGUUGCUGGCUCAAACCCGCGUUCGGUCCCAUUGCUGGCCCAAGCCCGCGUUCGGUCCCAUUGCUGGCCCAAACCCGCUCCCGGUUCCUUAUGAAGUUCAUCUCAGCUUUGCAAAACCAGCAGCCCCUGCUGCACAGAGCAGCAAACCACAGUGACCUCCAGUUCCCUUGAAACCCAGGCUGAACCAAGGUGAGUAUGAGACUGGACAGGUCAGAACCCUCACCUGGACUGCUGCAAUUGGAGUGAGAUCCAGCUAAAAUGGAAUUCAAGAAUUUAAAAAAAAAGACAGAGGCAGUAGCUGUCAGAAAGUGUCUGUGAGCACACACAACCCUGCUCUGUCAGGUAUUUUGUAUUUUUCCUUCAGACCUCUGAAGCUUUUCUUCCGGGUCGGAUGUCAUUAGCAUAUAAUUAGGGUGUCAGAUCUGUGCCAUUUUCCUGUCUGCUUAGUGGGGUGAGUUCCUGAGGUUUCUGGGGAGCUUUCUUCCUCCCAAGCUGAGGUCAAACAGUUACCCAGUCAUUCCUUCCCUCCUGCUGUUUAUAAGCCACAAGGAGCAGGAUGUGGUAACAUUCUCCUGUGGUUCGCCGUGAGGAAAAGAUCCCAUUUCUCUUUGGAGACAAUCCCCAACAGCUCGCCAGCAGCAGAACUUCUUUUGUGGAGUGAAAAUGGGGGAAAACCUCUGUGUGUGUGUGUCCUGCCUGCCAGGUCCAGCAGCAGAGGAAGCCUUGGGUUGCAGUGCUUUGUGCAGAAAUUGCAGCCGAGUCUUGGAGCAUCCUCAGAGGGGAUGAUACCAACACCUGGAAUCCUUCCUGAGCCUGUGUCCGUGUCCUGGCCCUUCUCUGAGUGACUCUGUGGGCGAACAAAGGAGCCCUGAAGGCUCCAUCAAGUCUCCUGGUCGGCAGGGAGGAGCAGGGAUGCUGAAAAUGCAGCUGGAAAAGCAAUUAUUGCCUUCCUCAGCACGGGAGCCCCAGCCCCUCUUCAGCUGCACACAAAGGGAGAGACAAGAGGCUCCCCGAGACCCAAACCCUUCUGAAUGGUGAGGAGGAAACAUCCCACGGGUUUUGUUUGUCCCCUCAGGAUGUCAGCAUCCUUUGGGAAGCUUUGUGUGGGAGCAGCUGGCCCCACCUCUGCUCAGCAGUGCUUUGCUCUGGGAGGAAGGAGCAGAAAACAUCCCUGGGUUCAAAGAGACAACUUCCCCGAGAGCAGCUGGGUGUUUGCAGAGAUCACAGCCCUCAGCCUGCCCAGCGCUUGAAGCUCUCCCGAUGUUUUUCCUUUCCAAGAUGCUCCUUGAUGUCUGUGUCCAUCCCUCCUCCUUCCUUUAGAGCCCGAGGCUCUAAAAGCCACAAACCACAGCAGCACUGAGGGGAGCUGGCUGUGUCCAAAGAAGCAGCAAUUUGCCUUAAUCUUGCAUUUCAAUGUGGUUAUUUUGGAACCUUUUGACAAUGAAAUUGCAAAUAUUGG
Melospiza melodia melodia is the source of this 1670-nucleotide long non-coding RNA. RefSeq lists it as uncharacterized. Lineage: Eukaryota; Metazoa; Chordata; Aves; Passeriformes; Passerellidae. The transcript is spliced from 2 exons. The record is from RefSeq and is a predicted model, not a curated record.